GACGAACCGAGCGAACGUUGUUCGGAAUCACUGGGCUUAAAGGGCGCGUAGGCGGGCUGCCAAGUCUGGGGUGAAAUCCCGCGGCUCAACCGUGGAACUGCCUCAGAUACUGUUUGGCUUGAGACCGGAAGAGGUUAGUGGAACUGCGAGUGUAGAGGUGAAAUUCGUAGAUAUUCGCAAGAACGCCAGUGGUGAAGGCGGCUGACUGGUCCGGUUCUGACGCUGAGGCGCGAAAGCGUGGGGAGCAAACAGG
This 253-nucleotide ribosomal RNA is filed under the name uncultured Microvirga sp. Its description in RNAcentral is "partial 16S ribosomal RNA". It matches the Rfam family "Bacterial small subunit ribosomal RNA", at positions 524 to 776 of the family's 1533-position model. Lineage: Bacteria; Pseudomonadati; Pseudomonadota; Alphaproteobacteria; Hyphomicrobiales; Methylobacteriaceae. The record is from RNAcentral.